RNAcentral lists this ribosomal RNA (195 nucleotides) under uncultured eukaryote. Its description in RNAcentral is "partial 18S ribosomal RNA". It matches the Rfam family "Eukaryotic small subunit ribosomal RNA", at positions 1 to 194 of the family's 1831-position model. The record is from RNAcentral.
CCAAACCUGGUUGAUCCUGCCAGUAGUCAUAUGCUUGUCCAAAAGAUUAAGCCAUGCAUGUCCAAGUAUAAAUCUUUGUACGGUGAAACUGCGAAUGGCUCAUUACAUCAGCGAUAAUUUAUUUGAUGGUACUUACUACAUGGAUAACCGUGGUAAUUCUAGAGCUAAUACAUGCAAAGGGCCCGACGCAAGAAG